RNAcentral lists this unclassified non-coding RNA (1361 nucleotides) under uncultured Neocallimastigales. RNAcentral describes it as "partial contains internal transcribed spacer 1, 5.8S ribosomal RNA, internal transcribed spacer 2, and large subunit ribosomal RNA". The stretch from base 591 to 1361 matches the Rfam family "Eukaryotic large subunit ribosomal RNA", at positions 1 to 628 of the family's 3401-position model. The record is from RNAcentral. Lineage: Eukaryota; Fungi; Neocallimastigomycota; Neocallimastigomycetes; Neocallimastigales.
UAAAUAAUCCUACCCUUUGUGAAUUUUGUUUGUUUGAAUAAUUUUUUUUUUUAAAAAAUUAUUGGAGUCUUUCCCUUUAGAGUUUGCUUUUGAGUUUGUAAAGAAUUCGAAAACAUCUAAAGGGGAUGGUCAAUAAUUUUUUUGAAAAAAGACAUUUUUUAAAAUUAAACUUUUGUAUUCAUUUGUCUAAAAAUUAUUUUUAUAAUAUAAAAACAACUUUUGACAAUGGAUCUCUUGGUUCUCGCAACGAUGAAGAACGCAGCAAAAUGCGAUAAGUAGUGUGAAUUGCAGAAUACGUGAAUCAUCGAAUCUUUGAACGCAUAUUGCACUUUUUUAGUUUACUAAAAAAGUAUGUCUGUUUGAGUAUCAGUAAAAUAUUCUCAUAAAAAUCAUUGUAUUUUUAUGGUUAUGAGUGUUUUACAACGAUACAAGUUGUUUCACUUUAAAUUUUUUUUUAAUAUUGAAAUUUUUCUAAUUUUAAUAAUUAAAAUUGGAUAAAAUUUUCCCGUCAAAAGGAAUAACCUAAACAAUUUUAAAUGAUUAAUUUUAGCAAAUUUUCGUAAAAAAGGAAAAUUUUUAUUAAAAUAACUUGAUCUCAAAUCAGAUAAGAGUACCCGCUGACUUAAGCAUAUCAAUAAGCGGAGGAAAAGAAACUAACAAGGAUUCCCUUAGUAACGGCGAGUGAAGCGGGAAGAGCUCAAAUUUGAAAUCUUCAAGGUUUUACCUUGACGAAUUGUAGUUUAAAGAAGUGUUUUCUGCUGAAGUUUUGGUAAAAGUUCUUUGGAAUAGGACAUCAUAGAGGGUGAGAAUCCCGUAUUUGACCAUUAUUUUCAGCUUUGUGAUACACUUUCAAAGAGUCGGAUUGUUUGGGAAUGCAGUCCAAAAUGGGUGGUAAAUUUCAUCUAAAGCUAAAUAUUGGCGAGAGACCGAUAGCGAACAAGUACCGUGAGGGAAAGAUGAAAAGAACUUUGAAAAGAGAGUUAAACAGUACGUGAAAUUGUCAAAAGGGAAGCGUUUGACACCAGUGUUGUUUUCUCGAAAAUCAAUUAAAAAUGGCUCGAUUUUGUAUUGCUGAGACCUUAAAAGCUCACUGUACAUUCUUCGUGUCUUUUUUAAUGCACUUUUCGUUUAACAAGUCAACAUCAGUUUCUUUUGUUGUAAAAGGGUCAUUGGAAGGUGGCUUUCUUUUCGGAGAAAGUGUUUAUAGCCUUUGGCCUCUGCAAUCGAGAGACUGAGGUCUGCAGCGUAGACUCUUCGGGUUAGAUACAUUUGUGCUAAGUUAUAGCUUUUUAUAGACAACUUGUUGACUAUAUUAGUCUUGUAGCUUACUCGCUUAUGCUAUUUUACCUACGCUUAGGAUG